CACGUGCAUGUAGCUGGGUAAAAAAAUGCAUGGAGAAAAUAAUGUUAGGUAGUCUCUUGCCUGUAUCUAAACUUCAGAGGUGUUGACUCAAGUCGCCCUUUUACUUUCUGUUCAAUCAGAAUAAAAAUUAAACCUCUCCUGCUCUUUCUGGAAAUAUAGAUAUAUAUAGCCACACACAAUUAAUAUUCGUGUAACUGUGGGGUGGAAAUAAGUAGCAGAGGAUAAAGCAGUGGGGAGAGAGGGAGAGAGAGAGAGAGAGAACUCCAUGGUGUUUUCAGCCCUGAAGAAGCAAGUUUCACUUGGAUCUGCUUUAGUGGGUUCCCAGGUUUCCCUUCCAUCCCCCUUUUGACCUUCAACACCACCAAUUUGUUUCCAUAAGUUGUACCAAAGUUCGAGCAGCUGUCUGUGGCUGCUGAGAAAGCAGAAACUUUAUAUACGGGGAUAAGAACAAUAGGCCACAAUAGGAAGCUCCUUUUAAGAGCAGAAAGAGAGGAACUGAUUAUUAUUUAUGAAAACAAAACUCAUCAAACAGGCUACCAUUGGUAGUUGAUGUGUCUUCUUCCAGCAGAAGAGUGCCUUUUUCCAUACUUCCAAUUCAAAAUGUUGCUGUGACUGUACCUGCUGAAGUAUGUCUCAGAGUUUAAGAAAGUAUCUUACUCUUUUUUUUCUUUUAACGCAGAUGUGGAUCCAUUUUAAAUGGUCAGCUCUCUUAUAUACAGUAGGGUUUGUACUGAUAUUGAUGACGAUUCAGCAGUAAAAAGAGUCCUUAAAACACACGCUGCAGCUUUUGGCACCCAGGACAGUGAGGGAUCUUCAGCCAGCUGUAACUUGCACCCGUUUUCCACAGGGAGAAAGGAGUACAGCAUGCCUGCAGAGCUUGAGCUCUGGGUCUUGGAUGUUUAAUUCAGAUCAUCAGAGUGUAUGGGUGAGGCUGGUCUUGUGUCCUAUUAGAGGCCUUCCUGUGUAGACCAGAGAAAGAGUGGAUGUCCCCAUGUUAGGUAACUAUUACUGUCUUUUCCAGUGAAGCAAAUUAAACUAAGCUUCUAUAUUAUGGGAAAUAAUUGCACGAUUUUGUUCCUUAAAGUAGGCUGUUUCUUCCUUUUUGCUCUUAAAAAUGCAAUCCUCAUGUAUUGUAUCUG
This 1139-nucleotide long non-coding RNA is filed under the name Anser brachyrhynchus (Pink-footed goose). RNAcentral describes it as "lncRNA (ENSABRG00000004542.1)". The record is from RNAcentral. Lineage: Eukaryota; Metazoa; Chordata; Aves; Anseriformes; Anatidae.